GAUGAACGCUAGCGGGAGGCCUAACACAUGCAAGCCGAGCGGUAGAGUUCCUUCGGGAACUUGAGAGCGGCGUACGGGUGCGUAACACGUGUGCAACCUACCUUUAUCUGGGGGAUAGCCUUUCGAAAGGAAGAUUAAUACCCCAUAAUAUAUUGAAUGGCAUCAUUUAAUAUUGAAAACUCUGGUGGAUAGAGAUGGGCACGCGCAAGAUUAGAUAGUUGGUGAGGUAACGGCUCACCAAGUCUGUGAUCUUUAGGGGUCCUGAGAGGGAGAUCCCCCACACUGGUACUGAGACACGGACCAGACUCCUACGGGAGGCAGCAGUGAGGAAUAUUGGACAAUGGGUGAGAGCCUGAUCCAGCCAUCCCGCGUGAAGGAUGACGGUCCUAUGGAUUGUAAACUUCUUUUGUACAGGAAUAAACCUAUUUACGUGUAAAUAGCUGAAGGUACUGUACGAAUAAGCACCGGCUAACUCCGUGCCAGCCGCCGCCGUAA
This 495-nucleotide ribosomal RNA is filed under the name uncultured bacterium. RNAcentral's name for it is "partial 16S ribosomal RNA". It matches the Rfam family "Bacterial small subunit ribosomal RNA", at positions 28 to 523 of the family's 1533-position model. The record is from RNAcentral.